RNAcentral lists this ribosomal RNA (487 nucleotides) under uncultured marine eukaryote. RNAcentral's name for it is "bacterial SSU rRNA". It matches the Rfam family "Eukaryotic small subunit ribosomal RNA", at positions 622 to 1112 of the family's 1831-position model. The record is from RNAcentral.
AAAAGCUCGUAGUUGGGUGUCUGUCGGAAACGGCCGGUCUUCGCUAUGCGAAUGCAUGCUGGUUGGGGUCCGGCAUCCUCGCGGGGAACGCAGCUGCGCUUGAGUGCGUGGUGCGGGGCGCGCGACUUUUACUUUGAGGAAAUUAGAGUGUUCACGGCAGGCAAGCGCCAUGAAUAUAUUAGCAUGGAAUAAUAAUAUAGGACCUCGGUUCUAUUUUGUUGGUUUCUAGGGCUGAGGUGAUGGUUAAUAGGGAUAAUUGGGGGCAUUUGUAUUAACGCGUCAGAGGUGGAAUCCUUGGAUUGCGUUACGACAACCUACUGCGAAAGCAUUUGCCAAGGAUGUUUUCAUUGAUCAAGAACGAAAGUAUGGGGAUCGAAGAUGAUUAGAUACCGUCGUAGUCUAUACCAUAAACUAUGCCGACUAGAGAUAGGAGGUCGUUCUUACUACGACUCCUUCUGCACCUUAUGAGAAAUCAAAGUCUUUGGGU